This is a long non-coding RNA of Haliotis rubra (blacklip abalone), 134 nucleotides long. RefSeq lists it as uncharacterized. The transcript has 3 exons. Lineage: Eukaryota; Metazoa; Mollusca; Gastropoda; Lepetellida; Haliotidae. The record is from RefSeq and is a predicted model, not a curated record.
UUUUACUUUAAUCAAUAUGUUGAGAUAUAAUUCUCUUACAGUCUAAGUGUCUUUUCACUACUUUGUGAUACCUCCUGGCCCUGCAAUACAAGACUGAAUGCGCCGAGUUACACUACCGAUAAGUUGAACAUUUU